RNAcentral lists this ribosomal RNA (106 nucleotides) under Echinostoma caproni. The record is from RNAcentral. Lineage: Eukaryota; Metazoa; Platyhelminthes; Trematoda; Plagiorchiida; Echinostomatidae.
AGACGCGACCAUACUACUUUGGAAACACCAGCUCUCUUCUGAUCACCGAAGUUAAGCAACGUCUGGCCCGGUUGGUACUUGCAUGGGUGAUCGGGUGUUGCGGCCG